CUAGUGGCGCACGGGUGCGUAACGCGUGGGAAUCUGCCCUUGGGUUCGGAAUAACAGUUGGAAACGACUGCUAAUACCGGAUGAUGACGUAAGUCCAAAGAUUUAUCGCCCAGGGAUGAGCCCGCGUAGGAUUAGCUAGUUGGUGGGGUAAAGGCCUACCAAGGCGACGAUCCUUAGCUGGUCUGAGAGGAUGAUCAGCCACACUGGGACUGAGACACGGCCCAGACUCCUACGGGAGGCAGCAGUAGGGAAUAUUGGACAAUGGGGGCAACCCUGAUCCAGCAAUGCCGCGUGAGUGAUGAAGGCCUUAGGGUUGUAAAGCUCUUUUACCCGAGAUGAUAAUGACAGUAUCGGGAGAAUAAGCUCCGGCUAACUCCGUGCCAGCAGCCGCGGUAAUACGGAGGGAGCUAGCGUUGUUCGGAAUU
RNAcentral lists this ribosomal RNA (425 nucleotides) under Sphingobium sp. Ar-33. RNAcentral describes it as "bacterial SSU rRNA". It matches the Rfam family "Bacterial small subunit ribosomal RNA", at positions 92 to 552 of the family's 1533-position model. The record is from RNAcentral. Lineage: Bacteria; Pseudomonadati; Pseudomonadota; Alphaproteobacteria; Sphingomonadales; Sphingobiaceae.